Molecule: ribosomal RNA, 469 nt
Filed under: uncultured actinomycete
Lineage: Bacteria; Bacillati; Actinomycetota; Actinomycetes; Actinomycetales
Description: bacterial SSU rRNA
Rfam family: Bacterial small subunit ribosomal RNA
Source: RNAcentral
AGUUUGAUCCUGGCUCAGAAUCAACGCUGGCGGCGUGCCUAACACAUGCAAGCCGAACGAGAAAGUGGAGCAAUCCAUGAGUACAGUGGCGACCGGGUGAGUAACACGUGACCAACCUACCCUCGAGUGGGGAAUAACUCCGGGAAACCGGAGCUAAUACCGCAUAACAUCGCAAGAUCAAAGCCGCAAGGCGCUUGAGGAGGGGGUCGCGGCUGAUUAGCUAGUUGGUAGGGUAACGGCCUACCAAGGCGAAGAUCGGUAGCCGGCCUGAGAGGGCGCACGGCCACACUGGAACUGAAACACGGUCCAGACUCCUACGGGAGGCAGCAGUGGGGAAUUUUGCGCAAUGGGGGAAACCCUGACGCAGCAACGCCGCGUGGAGGAUGAAGUCCCUUGGGACGUAAACUCCUUUCGACCGGGACGAUACUGACGGUACCGGAAGAAGAAGCACCGGCUAACUCUGUGCCAG